RNAcentral lists this small nuclear RNA (335 nucleotides) under Microtus ochrogaster (prairie vole). RNAcentral's name for it is "7SK RNA (ENSMOCG00000012198.1)". It matches the Rfam family "7SK RNA". From Rfam's summary of the family: 7SK was discovered as an abundant small nuclear RNA in the mid-70s but a possible function has only recently been suggested. The record is from RNAcentral. Lineage: Eukaryota; Metazoa; Chordata; Mammalia; Rodentia; Cricetidae.
GGAGGUCAAGGUGGUCUGACUGUGACAUCUGUCACCUCGUUGACCUCCAGGGGUUGAUUAAGCUGAUCUGGCUGCCUCAGUAGAUGUCCCCAUUCUCCCUUGCUGUGUCAGGUGUGUCCUUCCUGAAACUGUGCACUCAGUCAAAGAGGAAGACCUUCCCUCAUUGACACUUAGGUCAAAAGUGAGUGAAUAUCUGCACUCCUCUGCUAGAACCUUCAAACAAGUCACCAAGAUUCACGGUGCUUUUGUAUUUCUUGCUCACUUGUGGAAGCCUCAGAAUGUCUAAAGCCAUGACUGGGAUCCUAUCUUGUGUCAUCUGAGAAAGAAUGGUAUUG